Molecule: non-coding RNA, 221 nt
Organism: Paramuricea clavata
Lineage: Eukaryota; Metazoa; Cnidaria; Anthozoa; Malacalcyonacea; Plexauridae
Source: the annotation of a GenBank genome assembly
AUUACUGAUUAAAAGAUUGUUUUUGGGACGCGCGUCCCAAAAACAAAAAUUACAGUACAUUUCAUAGUAAAUAUCGCGAUUUUCGAAAGCUUAUUAUUCGAAGGGUAUCCAUGUAAACGUCUUCAAAUACUGUAUACUUACUAAUUUUGAGGUGAUUUGGUUCAUUUCUUAAUUUGGGCACUUUUUAACACUCGUCCCCAGUCCUCUCAUCAACUUCGGAA